Molecule: ribosomal RNA, 378 nt
Filed under: uncultured bacterium
Lineage: Bacteria
Description: bacterial SSU rRNA
Rfam family: Bacterial small subunit ribosomal RNA
Source: RNAcentral
GACGAACGCUGGCGGCGUGCUUAACACAUGCAAGUCGAGCGGUAAGGCCCUUUCGGGGUACGACGAGCGGCGAACGGGUGAGUAACACGUGGGUGACCUGCCCUCAGCUCUGGGAUAAGCCUGGGAAACCGGGUCUAAUACUGGAUAUGACUCCAUGACGCAUGUUGUGGGGUGGAAAGCCUUGUGCGGCUGAGGAUGGGCCCGCGGCCUAUCAGCUUGUUGGUGGGGUGAGGCCUACCAAGGCGACGACGGGUAGCCGGCCUGAGAGGGCGACCGGCCACACUGGGACUGAGACACGGCCCAGACUCCUACGGGAGGCAGCAGUGGGGAAUCUUGCGCAAUGGGCGAAAGCCUGACGCAGCGACGCCGCGUGAGGAU